Hyla sarda is the source of this 4040-nucleotide long non-coding RNA. RefSeq lists it as uncharacterized. Lineage: Eukaryota; Metazoa; Chordata; Amphibia; Anura; Hylidae. The transcript is spliced from 6 exons. The record is from RefSeq and is a predicted model, not a curated record.
GUCCGGUCACAUUGCCGGUGUGUGGGGGGCGGACACGGAGCGGCCGGUCACCUCACUGACAGCGUCUUCUCUUCUCUCAAGUCUCCUCAAAUUUGUUUUGUGGAAGAAAAAUAUUCUUGGCGCCAUAUGUAGUUUAUGUGGUGAUAAAACUGCGCCGCCUGUGGUCGCCUCGUCCCUCUAAUGUUCAUGAGGGGAACUGCAGUUGUAGAAUCGACUUGAAGACGCGAUGACAGGAGACAGAAAAAUCCUACAGAAACGUAUAUACAGUACAGAAACGUAUACAGUACAGAAUAUUGCUGCCUGUGUUACCGCUGCUGUCAGAAGUUGCCUUUCUACAGUGGGAAGCUGGAAAUGCGACAGCUCAAGGUAAAAAUUGAAGUUCGGACCGAGAGAGGGCGAGAUCAUCUGAAAAGUCACAAACCAACUGGUUAAAUGUUACCGCAGUGAUAGGUGACCUUGACCUUAUGACUUUAUCAUGAGAACAGCAGGGCAAUGAUAAUGAAUCUGUAAGGUUCUUCAUUAAGGGGACAGAAUCUUAUCAUAAACAACGCUAAGGAAGAAUGAUUUAAAUAUGAGAGUCAACAUGGCAAGGAUGGAGAACGACUGUCGCACAAUGUGUUUCUUUAACUUAAGGAUAAAGUAGAAGAUUUCAGGUUCAGAAGACGCCGAGAUGUAAAAUAACCUUUUUUGGAAACCUUUGAGUAAAACCAAAAUGGCCACUAUUGUGACUGCGCCAGGGGUUGCUUUGCAUUCUAAUCCUGUAAUUGGCCAAUUCUCAGAGAAUCCACAAUGGUGACCACAUGAAAAGAGCACAGAAGGUAAUUUACAUCAAUCGCCGCUUGCAACUAAAAACUCUCUGAAGGUUUCGCACCAAAGUAUGUGGAGAAAAUCUCUAAAGAAAAGCGAGGCCGCCAGGAAAGAGGGAAUAUGGUCCUUUAUUUGAAAAAAAGAAAUAGAUUUUUGUUGUAACUGACAGAACAGGAGAGGGAUUUGAGAUGACGUGAAUUUCAGAACUCUGCAGCCUUAAAGAAGUUUUAAUAUAUAACUUGCUACAUCUGGACCGCAAAAGAGUCAUCUGAGAACCCUGACAGAGGAGACGAAGGGGGGGUUAAAAAAACAGCGGACAAAGGAGCGAGCCGGCACGCAGCAAAGCUGCAGAAGAAUAGAAAAACACAUUAAUCCGGGGGGACUGUAAGUAUGCAACUUAAAUAGGCAAUCAUUGGCGUCUUAAUGAUAAAAGAAACGCAGCAGCUCCCUCCCAGAGUCAUCGGAUAUCCUCGCUAAGCGCUUAUAAUACGCAGCCAUAUGGAGAACCUGCCCACACACUUGGCACCUGUUGCUUUAUAGAUCACCCCGUUCAUCAUUCCGACAGUGCAGCCAGGAGUCCGGGGCCAGCGCUCAAAUGCUUCUUUAUUCGCAAGAAGAGCGCACGUGCGUUCUGCAUUUCAGAGUUAUUAGCCCAAGAUGAGUUGGCAAAGUUUACUUCUUAAGACAGACUUGGCGGGGCCCUCACAUGCUCAAACAUUAAAAUGAAACUCUAAGAAAAUAAUAACAUUCUAGAUUUUUCUAAGAAAUAAAAAUAAAUAGUAAGAAAGGAUUCCAGAAUUUAUUAGUCAGAAAAGGAUCAAGCGAAAAAGGGCAGAGCCGCAGUCCCAUGCACGGCCCUCGGGAAAAGGACCCAAGUAAAAGCCCUAACCAAUCAUGCAGUGGUGGAGCCCCUCCAGCUGGGCCUACAGAUGAGAUGAACAUGUACAGAACAACCUAUCACUGCCACACAAACUAAUUGGGACAAGAUGUCCACUCGGGCGGAAGGUCACUUUAAUGGAACCUGAAAAAUUGGUGUUUUUACUGAUGUCCUAAAUAUGGAUGAAGAAGUGCAAACACUUUGAAGGGGUUCUCAGUUUCUCUUUUUUAAAUAAGACUUCAGGACACCAAUUUGUAUGGCUCCUCUGCUGUGACAAAGUUCGGGCCAAAAUGUGCAACUUGACAUACCGACACAAUAAUGAGAAGAUCCUACGUGACAAAAAAGUAAAUGUGACAAAGUUAGAGCAAAACUCUAGUCUACCAACAAUGAGUGUCUUCCUGCUGGAAAUGAACAGUAAUAAACCACAAUCUGUUUAUUUUCCCUGCAGCACCACAACAGGACAAAAAUAAAGGGGUACUCCGGUGGAAAACAUUUGGCUCCAGAAAGUUAAACAGAUCUGUAAAAUACUUCCAUUAAAAAAUCUUAAGCCUUCUAUGACUUAUCAGCUGCUGUAUACUACAGAUGAAGUUGUGUAGUUCUUUUUUUUGUCUGACUACACUGUUCUCUGCUGACACCUCUGUCCAUGUCAGGAACUGUCUAGAGUAGGAGCAAAUCCCUAUAGCAAACCUAUUCUGCACCGGAAAGUUCCUGGAAGGAUUAAGAUUUUUUUUAAUAGAAGAAAUUUACAAAUCUGUUUAACUUUCUGGCAAUAGUUGAUUUGAAAACAUUGUUUUCCAACGGAGUAGCCCUUUAAGUAUUUCACAUUGUUCUCUUAUAUCAAUGAUUAGUUUAUGUAACGCAGCACAGGUCCCCCAGAACGAUUCCCUCCGCUCUGACCAAGAGAUGAUCAUCCUGAACAGCCCCCACCCAUGUACUGUCAGUGAAUAGAAGUGUUGAGCAUUAAUUCUCAAACAGGAAGGCUCCAGAUAUUGCAUUACCCAUUUGGUCCAUAAGGAACCAUCAGUGGAUAUGAAAAUAUUAUAUUCCCUGCAUUCCCUCUCUUUUUCGCUUGCAGCUUGGUGUAUUCACGGUACACAUUUAUCUCACUAUAUAUUAUAUCUUUCAUUAGUCAGCUACACAUAUAUCUUAGUGGUUGAGACACUUAUAUGAUUACAUGAUCACAGUUGUGAUUUUUAUGUGUAUCACAUUUAAUAAUCACCACCACACAUUAUACAUCUUAUUUAUUUUUUAUUUUUUUAUUUUUGCACUUGAUUGGCUUAAAAUAGUUUUUUCUUGUACUUUGUUGUAUAAUAUGAUUUUUUGAUGUGAUUUUAUGUCUUUUUCUCACUUGUAUAUUUUAUGAUCUUCCAGGUAUGUAAGCGAGUGUAUAGUGAAUGCAGUGAUUACUUAGGACAUUCUUCUCAGCGGUGCGAUGUCCAGUGCGCCUGCGCCGUGUUCUUCCCUAGUGACGCAGCCCUCCGAAGCGACUUGAGUCCAGUGCGCAUGCCCGGGAACACUGUUUCUCGGUCAUGCGCAGAUGGACGUAGACGCCGGAAGUGGGGCCAGCCUUUGUUCCGGCGGGGCAUGGCGCAGGCGCCGAUGUAAUCUCCACACCGCUGUAGGUAAUUUACACCAUUAUGGCAACACAUAUAAACCACCACACCACUCACAUAGUCAGUAUCUCUUGAAAAAAGGGAAACCGAAACAAUCGUAGGGGUCGGUCGCAGAGUUUGCUAUCCGCACAUGGGUAGGUUACACAUUGAUUCUUAUUUUGAGUACUUAGAUAUGUUGUCCCCAAUAUCAUUGUAUUUCACUAUGCAUUCCUAGACCUGGCUAUACACCAGCUCUAGGUUAUAUUACCAGUUAAUCUUGAUGUAUUAUUAUGCAGCAUUUGUAUGGAUAGCCCACAGUGGCUAAACUGUUUUAUUCCAUAGAUUGCUAUAUAUAGUGUGGACAAUUUUUAUGUACUCAUUUGUAUGUACUAUUCUUACUCUGCGCCAGAUAUUUUUGUGUUGGAUUUCUAUUGCAAUACUUCACUUUUUUGCAUCUAUAUGUUUUUUAUGUAAAACAUUUUCAAUAAAGAUUUAUAUGUUUAUACUUAAGGUGGUGCUGAUAACUCCAAUCUCUCUGUAUAUAUAACUACCAGCCUUUGACUGUCGCGGCAUGCUGGAAGUUGUAGUUUUCCAACAGCUGGAGGCAACCGUUUUGGAAACAGUGCCUUAAAGUGUUAGUGUCUUUUGUAAAACUUUUUACAUGUCAUCCAGACGUGCCAAAAGUUUAGAUCGCACCACAUCUCAGUCCUUAGACCUGCAACAAGGUAGGUAUGUAUUUGUAUUUUGUUUUUAAAGGGGUUCUU